This 116-nucleotide ribosomal RNA is filed under the name uncultured bacterium. RNAcentral describes it as "partial 16S ribosomal RNA". It matches the Rfam family "Bacterial small subunit ribosomal RNA", at positions 1358 to 1482 of the family's 1533-position model. The record is from RNAcentral.
UACGGUGAAUACGUUCCCGGACCUUGUACACACCGCCCGCCAAGCCAUGGAAGCUGGGUGUACCUAAAGUCGAUAACCGUAAGGAGUCGCCUAGGGUAAAACUAGUAACUGGGGCU